This 800-nucleotide ribosomal RNA is filed under the name uncultured bacterium. Its description in RNAcentral is "bacterial SSU rRNA". It matches the Rfam family "Bacterial small subunit ribosomal RNA", at positions 8 to 757 of the family's 1533-position model. The record is from RNAcentral.
AGAGUUUGAUCCUGGCUCAGAGUGAACGCUGGCGGCGUGGAUUAGGCAUGCAAGUCGAGCGAUCCCGAUGGAGCGACGAGGUCGACCGCAAGGAAGGCCGAGAAGUGAAAUCGGGAUAGCGGCAGACGGGUGAGUAACGCGUGAGUAACUUACCUCUAAGCUGAGGAUAGCCUUACGAAAGUGAGGGUAAUACUUGAUGUGUUUAUGAUGACAUAAGUCGUCAUAGGUAAAGGUGGCCCGUAAGGGCUACUGUUUAGAGAUGAGCUCGCGUCCUAUCAGCUAGUUGGUAGGGUAAUGGCCUACCAAGGCUAUUGACGGGUAGCUGGCCUGAGAGGGUGGUCAGCCACACGGGGACUGAGACACUGCCCCGACUCCUACGGGAGGCUGCAGUCGAGGAUCUUUAGCAAUGGGCGCAAGCCUGACUAUGCGACGCCGCGUGAGGGAUGAAGGUUUUCGGAUCGUAAACCUCUUUCGAUGGGGAAGAAAUUUCCGCCAUAAAUAGUGGCGGAAGCUGACUGUACCCAGAGAAGAAGCCACGGCUAACUCCGUGCCAGCAGCCGCGGUAAUACGGAGGUGGCGAGCGUUACUCGGAUUCAUUGGGUGUAAAGGGCAGGUAGGUGGCUAUGUAAGUUGGAGGUGAAAUCCUUUGGCUCAACCAAAGAACUGCCUUCAAAACUACAUAGCUUGAGGCUGGGAGAGGAGAGUGGAAUUCCCGGUGUAAGGGUGAAAUCUGUAGAUAUCGGGAGGAACACCAGUAGCGAAAGCGACUCUCUGGUCCAGCCCUGACGCUGAGCUGCGAA